GCUCCUGUGGCUUAGCGGUACUUUGCGUGAAUGAAAAGGUCGAGGUCCCGAGUUCAAAUCUCGGCAGGGGCU
Molecule: transfer RNA, 72 nt
Filed under: Candidatus Woesearchaeota archaeon CG10_big_fil_rev_8_21_14_0_10_36_11
Lineage: Archaea; Nanobdellati; Candidatus Woesearchaeota
Description: tRNA-Phe
Rfam family: tRNA
About the family: Transfer RNA (tRNA) molecules are approximately 80 nucleotides in length.
Source: RNAcentral